RNAcentral lists this ribosomal RNA (714 nucleotides) under Triticum aestivum (bread wheat). Its description in RNAcentral is "partial small subunit ribosomal RNA". Lineage: Eukaryota; Viridiplantae; Streptophyta; Magnoliopsida; Poales; Poaceae. The record is from RNAcentral.
AUGGGGGGGGGGCUUCCUCUUGCUCUCAAGACAAUGGGUGGAUUGCUAAGUUCAUAUCAACAAGUACAAGAAUGGAAGGCCGUCAAAGAAAGAAAUUUUAGGGAUAAUAAUGUUAGAGGGAAAGAUGAGAUCAUGUCCAUCCUAAAGUUGAGCUACAGACACCUAUCAUCUCAAAUGAAGCAAUGUUUUGCAUUCUUAGCAGUUUUCCCCAAGGACUAUGUGAUGGACAAGGAUAUGUUGAUUCAACUAUGGAUGGCAAAUGGUUUCAUUCAAGAGAAGAGACCAGUGGAUUUAACAACAAGAGGAGAAUUCAUUUUCGACGAGUUAGUUUGGAGGUCCUUCCUCCAAGAUAAGCAACGGUGCAUAGACAAUUAUGGUACAGAAAAUUAUAUGGCUGUUAACUGUAAGAUGCAUGAUUUAAUGCAUGAUAUAGCAAAAGCUAUCACAGAUGAAUGUGCAAGUAUAGAAGAACUGAUUCCGCAAAAAACAUUGUUAAAAGAUGUUUGUCACAUGCAAGUGACAGGGGCUGAAAUGGAACUAAUCAGUGGGUUAUGCAAUGGCAGAACAUACAUCCGCACUUUGUUAGCUCCUUCAAAAUACUACACGGUUUUAAGAGAGUUGCUACAGGUAUCGUCAUCACUAAGAGUGUUGCAUUGCCUCCCUCCUUCAAUUGCUAUUUGGAAGGCCAUAAAUGCAAAAAAAAUGGUAUCUUGA